Small nuclear RNA from Echinops telfairi (small Madagascar hedgehog), 168 nucleotides. RefSeq annotates it as U1 spliceosomal RNA. The record is from RefSeq and is a predicted model, not a curated record. Lineage: Eukaryota; Metazoa; Chordata; Mammalia; Afrosoricida; Tenrecidae. The transcript has a single exon.
AUACUGACCUGGCAGGGAAGACACCAUGAUCACGAAGGUGGUUUUCCCAGGGCGAGGCUCACCCAUUGCACUGCGGGUGUGCUGACCCCUGCGACUUCCCCAAAUACGGGAAACCCCACUGCAUGGUUCGUGCUAGUGGGGGACUGCCUCCGUCCGCGCUCUCCCCUG